AAAUUGAAGAGUUUGAUCAUGGCUCAGAUUGAACGCUGGCGGCAGGCCUAACACAUGCAAGUCGAACGGUAACAGGAAGCAGCUUGCUGCUUCGCUGACGAGUGGCGGACGGGUGAGUAAUGUCUGGGAAACUGCCUGAUGGAGGGGGAUAACUACUGGAAACGGUAGCUAAUACCGCAUAACGUCGCAAGACCAAAGAGGGGGACCUUCGGGCCUCUUGCCAUCGGAUGUGCCCAGAUGGGAUUAGCUUGUUGGUGGGGUAACGGCUCACCAAGGCGACGAUCCCUAGCUGGUCUGAGAGGAUGACCAGCCACACUGGAACUGAGACACGGUCCAGACUCCUACGGGAGGCAGCAGUGGGGAAUAUUGCACAAUGGGCGCAAGCCUGAUGCAGCCAUGCCGCGUGUAUGAAGAAGGCCUUCGGGUUGUAAAGUACUUUCAGCGGGGAGGAAGGGAGUAAAGUUAAUACCUUUGCUCAUUGACGUUACCCGCAGAAGAAGCACCGGCUAACUCCGUGCCAGCAGCCGCGGUAAUACGGAGGGUGCAAGCGUUAAUCGGAAUUACUGGGCGUAAAGCGCACGCAGGCGGUUUGUUAAGUCAGAUGUGAAAUCCCCGGGCUCAACCUGGGAACUGCAUCUGAUACUGGCAAGCUUGAGUCUCGUAGAGGGGGGUAGAAUUCCAGGUGUAGCGGUGAAAUGCGUAGAGAUCUGGAGGAAUACCGGUGGCGAAGGCGGCCCCCUGGACGAAGACUGACGCUCAGGUGCGAAAGCGUGGGGAGCAAACAGGAUUAGAUACCCUGGUAGUCCACGCCGUAAACGAUGUCGACUUGGAGGUUGUGCCCUUGAGGCGUGGCUUCCGGAGCUAACGCGUUAAGUCGACCGCCUGGGGAGUACGACCGCAAGGUUAAAACUCAAAUGAAUUGACGGGGGCCCGCACAAGCGGUGGAGCAUGUGGUUUAAUUCGAUGCAACGCGAAGAACCUUACCUGGUCUUGACAUCCACAGAACUUUCCAGAGAUGGAUUGGUGCCUUCGGGAACUGUGAGACAGGUGCUGCAUGGCUGUCGUCAGCUCGUGUUGUGAAAUGUUGGGUUAAGUCCCGCAACGAGCGCAACCCUUAUCCUUUGUUGCCAGCGGUCCGGCCGGGAACUCAAAGGAGACUGCCAGUGAUAAACUGGAGGAAGGUGGGGAUGACGUCAAGUCAUCAUGGCCCUUACGACCAGGGCUACACACGUGCUACAAUGGCGCAUACAAAGAGAAGCGACCUCGCGAGAGCAAGCGGACCUCAUAAAGUGCGUCGUAGUCCGGAUUGGGAGUCUGCAACUCGACUCCAUGAAGUCGGAAUCGCUAGUAAUCGUGGAUCAGAAUGCCACGGUGAAUACGUUCCCGGGCCUUGUACACACCGCCCGUCACACCAUGGGAGUGGGUUGCAAAAGAAGUAGGUAGCUUAACCUUCGGGAGGGCGCUUACCACUUUGUGAUUCAUGACUGGGGUGAAGUCGUAACAAGGUAACCGUAGGGGAACCUGCGGUUGGAUCACCUCCUUACCUUAAAGAAGC
This 1555-nucleotide ribosomal RNA is filed under the name Shigella sonnei. Its description in RNAcentral is "bacterial SSU rRNA". It matches the Rfam family "Bacterial small subunit ribosomal RNA". The record is from RNAcentral. Lineage: Bacteria; Pseudomonadati; Pseudomonadota; Gammaproteobacteria; Enterobacterales; Enterobacteriaceae.